Molecule: transfer RNA, 69 nt
Filed under: Pseudabris longiventris
Lineage: Eukaryota; Metazoa; Arthropoda; Insecta; Coleoptera; Meloidae
Description: tRNA-Val
Source: RNAcentral
CAAAUUAGAGCUUGUUAUGAGUAUUUUAGUUACAUUAAAAUGGAAAUUGUUAAGAUCAAUUUAAUUUGA